CAUUUAUAUUAUUUUGGGUAGCUUUCUCAGCUGUGAAAAAAAAGGUUUAUGUGUAAGGGAUGUGUAAUCUCAAAAUUAUUGUGUUGCAGGGUUGCACGAGGAUACUAAUAAAUAGGGGUGGAAAUUAUCGCUGUUUGGUAGCGCCAUCUGGCGGAAUUUGAUGUACUUAUUAGGUUAUCAAAGCUUUCUAUAGGUGGAGCUCUUAUUUUGUACACUAAAACACUUUGGCUUAAUACAUUUCAAAAGCCUCCUAAGUAUUUCCUUAAUUUAAUAAAAGCCGCGUACCAUUUAAGGAUUCUUUAAAUCCAAAACCAACAUAUCAAGCCAUAGCCAGAUUAAAAAAAUUAAUUUAUAUUUAUUAAAGCUUUUUAUAGGUGGCGCUGUGGAGUAGAACAAUUUAAAAGGAUGUUUCAAUAUGAUGUUCCAUAAUGAAUACAAUUUAAACGGUUUUAUAAUUAUUAAAGAGCUCAGCACUUAACAAAAUGGAUUAUCAAAUAUGCAAGAUCGCCGCAGCACUUUAUUUAACUUGCUGUUAAUUCAUGACACACUUAAAGGAUUAUUCAUUUAAAUUAACCACAAAUCACAAGAUUGACGGUGUACGAAGGGGACAAAGAGCACAGAUAACGGUAAAAGAAUUUGCGGAUUUAAACAUUUUUAAAAAUCGCACGCACCACAAACCAGGCAAAAAAUUAAAAUGCGUCUGCUGCGUCAAAGGAUUCAGAUCCAGAAUCGCAAUCGGAAUCGGAAUCGAUGCGCGAGUGUGAGGUGCCCGGCAACAACAGAGACGACCGCGAUUUUGUGGUGGGUUAUAGUAGUCGCAUAACGAUUUUCCGAUUUUUCUCCGCUCGCUCGCUCUCUGUUUUCCAAUCGCCCGUCUCUUUCGCUCUGCCUGUUUGACGAUUAUAAACUUUUUGCCACCGACGCCACCGUCGCCGUUUGGUGUUAAUCUCUUUCUGCAGAAGGAAUAUUAUGAGCCACUAUAUAAAAAUGUGGGUCGGGAGUUGACGCCGGUGGUUGACGUUUAGUGGUUGGGCUUCGCAUAAUGCAGCAUCCACACCAAUACACACAGCAGGACUAUUACCAAUACUCACAAAGG
Long non-coding RNA from Drosophila yakuba, 1096 nucleotides. RefSeq lists it as uncharacterized. The record is from RefSeq and is a predicted model, not a curated record. The transcript has 2 exons. Lineage: Eukaryota; Metazoa; Arthropoda; Insecta; Diptera; Drosophilidae.